RNAcentral lists this ribosomal RNA (301 nucleotides) under uncultured bacterium. RNAcentral describes it as "partial 16S ribosomal RNA". It matches the Rfam family "Bacterial small subunit ribosomal RNA", at positions 509 to 809 of the family's 1533-position model. The record is from RNAcentral.
CAGCAGCCACGGUAAUACGAAGGGUGCAAGCGUUACUCGGAAUUACUGGACGUAAAGCGUGCGUAGGUGGUGGUUUAAGUCCGUUGUGAAAGCCCUGGGCUCAACCUGGGAAUUGCAGUGGAUACUGGGUCACUAGAGUGUGGUAGAGGAUAGUGGAAUUUCCGGUGUAGCAGUGAAAUGCGUAGAGAUCGGAAGGAACAUCUGUGGCGAAGGCGACUAUCUGGGCCAACACUGACACUGAGGCACGAAAGCGUGGGGAGCAAACAGGAUUAGAUACCCCUGUAGUCCCUGUCUUUUAUAA